UUUUGCAGUGUUUGCCCUUUCCUAUUUUGGGGCUUGCUUGACUUGUUUAUUUAGCGGUGAUGUUGUCAAUUUAUCACGUAAUGGCCGUUGAGUCACUUAGAUGCUAACCGCGGAUCCGAUUUUAAGUCAUUCUGCUGGGUUAGCAACAAUUCAAAAGGUCUUGCAGUUCAACAUGGAUCAUUAGUUUUUCGGGUCCCCGGAGGCCUCUCGGAUACCCAACCGGUCUGGGCUGGAUUUUCUUUCCAGACGUGUCCCUUAAGCAAGGCUCUAGCGCGACCCGGGCCGCCACGGCCGCCCAGUCUAGAGACCUGGAGGCCGCGCUCCUCCUGGCGGAGGAGGAGGAGGAAGCAAAAUGGAGGCGGCCAGCGCCAGGGCCGGGCCGGGCUAGGCGGGGUUUCGGCACAGCCGCGGAGGAUCCCACCAGGUUCUAGCGCCAGGGGCGCUCCAGGACCGGGUGCAGACCCAGCGGCCCCCUCCCCGAGAAGCCUCCACCCACCCCAACGCCACCCGGGCCAGACCUUCCUUGUGGCUCUCUCUCUGGCGUCACCCAGUCCUAAGCGGAGCCACUCCGCAGCUCAGGGAACUGGAGCGAAAGCGGACGUGGGCCGGGUGCAGGAGGAAGCCAAGCCUCUCCCCGGGAUCGCAGGGGGAGAGAGGACUUGUAGAAAAACAUGUGCAAACUAGGCGCAAACACUGCGUCGCCAGGGCUGCGAUUUCUGAUACAAAAUAGUGUUCUCCUAGCAACAGAUAAAUUGACGGUCUGUUCUCCGGGUUACACACAUUUAUAUGUUGAUGGUGCAAUUUGGCAUGACCUUCCCAUAAGAAUUUUGAGUCCUGAGAAACUUGGCUAUCGCCUGUUUUGUUAUUUUACGGAAAACUCAGAAUACUAGGAUGUGACUCAAGUGAAUAUCUAGUUUUAAUCUUUAAUGAUAUUUCAUGGUGUAUGUGUACUUAUUUAAAUAUUUUUAUAAAAGUAACUAAAUAUUGAGGCCUUUAAAAUUCAAGGUAGUAGUUGAUUUUUGUUUUGUCUUGAUUUUCAUUAAUGUAUUCACUUUACAUCUCAGUAUUUUAUUUUUUAUUACUAGUUUUUAUUCAUUGAACUUCUGUAAUCUCAGUGAAUAAACCCUCAAAGCAGG
Molecule: long non-coding RNA, 1136 nt
Organism: Mastomys coucha (southern multimammate mouse)
Lineage: Eukaryota; Metazoa; Chordata; Mammalia; Rodentia; Muridae
Exons: 2
Source: RefSeq, a predicted model, not a curated record